RNAcentral lists this ribosomal RNA (128 nucleotides) under Vibrio sp. 10N.222.54.F10. RNAcentral's name for it is "partial 16S ribosomal RNA". It matches the Rfam family "Bacterial small subunit ribosomal RNA", at positions 1 to 107 of the family's 1533-position model. The record is from RNAcentral. Lineage: Bacteria; Pseudomonadati; Pseudomonadota; Gammaproteobacteria; Vibrionales; Vibrionaceae.
CUUAAAUUGAAGAGUUUGAUCAUGGCUCAGAUUGAACGCUGGCGGCAGGCCUAACACAUGCAAGUCGAGCGGAAACGAAUUAACUGAACCUUCGGGGAACGUUAAUGGGCGUCGAGCGGCGGACGGGU